GUUCUGCUUAAGGAGCAGGGUGCGAGGGGUUUCUUCAGGGGUUGGGUGCCUACUCUCCUUGGAUACAGUGCACAGGGUGCUUGCAAGUUUGGCUUUUACGAGUUCUUUAAGAAGUAUUACUCUGAUAUUGCUGGACCUGAGUACGCAGCUAAGUACAAGACCUUGAUCUACCUUGCGGGUUCUGCAUCUGCUGAGGUUAUUGCUGAUGUUGCACUUUGCCCUUUCGAAGCAGUGAAG
This 237-nucleotide unclassified non-coding RNA is filed under the name Hevea brasiliensis (rubber tree). The record is from RNAcentral. Lineage: Eukaryota; Viridiplantae; Streptophyta; Magnoliopsida; Malpighiales; Euphorbiaceae.